UUUUAUUUUCUCUGUGUUUUCA
RNAcentral lists this microRNA (22 nucleotides) under Drosophila melanogaster (fruit fly). RNAcentral's name for it is "dme-miR-4943-5p". The record is from miRBase by way of RNAcentral. Lineage: Eukaryota; Metazoa; Arthropoda; Insecta; Diptera; Drosophilidae.